This is a long non-coding RNA of Engraulis encrasicolus (European anchovy), 610 nucleotides long. RefSeq lists it as uncharacterized. The transcript has 2 exons. The record is from RefSeq and is a predicted model, not a curated record. NCBI's taxonomy places the organism in Eukaryota, Metazoa, Chordata, Actinopteri, Clupeiformes, Engraulidae.
UACAUUAAUGAUGCCUGCCAACGAUUCUGAAUUGUGUACAGUCUGUAAUAUUUCUUCUUCAAGGGACCAGUCAAGUCGAUGUGACAGUUCCCUGUUGGCCCACUACCAUCUGCCCCGCAUGGUGCGCGACACCAGACACUGGAGCAGCUGGGUCGCCACUCAUCAACGCAGAGUGAAACAGUGCUUUGACCGCUCCCACAGGGUUAAAAGCCCCACACUUGCUCCACUGGACUGAUUGAGGAUCCGCAGGCCUACCCGGGGCCACAAGCUCAAGUCAUUCUGUUCUGCCCCACUGCAAGUGACUGAGCAGCUGGGCCCCGCCAUUUUAUGCCGUGUUCGCAAGGUGCCGCCGCCUACUGCAACAGACCUGGAGGCGACCGGCCCGUACAAGGGCCCAUCCAGGCCAUCUCAGGGACUAUGUACUCUGACAAUAUGAAUGAUGUUCCUGGGUCUCCCCUGGGGAGGGGGGAAAUGUUAUGUCUGCUCUGUUGCCUGUGCUGAUAUUUCAUAUUUCCUGAUGCUACUUGAAGACGACAUAAUAACAUUUGUGCAGGGCAUGCUGGGAUGCGAGUUCAGUGAAAUAAACGUCUGGUAUGGCUAGACUUUGACA